GCUGGCUGAUUGUGAGAUGGCAUAUUUCUUAAAGACAUUUAGAAUCUCAUACUCAGAUGAUAUCUGAAUUUACAAGGCAAAGGAUUAAAUUGAGGCACUUUCAGGUAGGAUUCAACAAAAAGCUACUUCAAAUUUUAAUAUGUUCUGGUUAGAUUAUUUUGUAUUUGAAUUAAAAUAGUUAUGCAGUUUUGUGUAACCAAAAUGGCAAUUUUGAUUUUUUUUUAGACAAAAUACAAUCAAGGCCAAAGAAAUGUAUGACUACUCUAAUUUCUCAGACUCUGUCAAGAAUUAACUCAGCUAAUUGCAGUUGAUUCUAGAUGCAGAACCUACAUCUAGACAAAGCU
This 344-nucleotide long non-coding RNA is filed under the name Bos taurus (domestic cattle). Its description in RNAcentral is "long non-coding RNA NONBTAT001032". The record is from RNAcentral. Lineage: Eukaryota; Metazoa; Chordata; Mammalia; Artiodactyla; Bovidae.